RNAcentral lists this unclassified non-coding RNA (283 nucleotides) under Hevea brasiliensis (rubber tree). Lineage: Eukaryota; Viridiplantae; Streptophyta; Magnoliopsida; Malpighiales; Euphorbiaceae. The record is from RNAcentral.
UGUCGUUUGUGAAGGAGAGUACGGCUGAAAAGAGGAAAAAUAAAGAUUAAUCCCAGAUUCAUUGGCAGCUAUUUGAUAAAUGAGCAGCAAGCAAUUUCAUGGGCAUAUUGAAUAGCCAAUACUUUAUCUUUAGCCAACUAAUGGUUUUAAAUAAAGGCCGUUACAUUACGUAACAGUCAUUAUUGUUAGGUUUUUUGCCCUCCCGUUACCGUGACAUCCGUUUAUUAAAGGCAUAAGAAAAUUUGUUCCUAUAACGGCCGUUACACCUGUUACUUAAUAGUAA